RNAcentral lists this ribosomal RNA (497 nucleotides) under uncultured bacterium. RNAcentral describes it as "partial 16S ribosomal RNA". It matches the Rfam family "Bacterial small subunit ribosomal RNA", at positions 28 to 507 of the family's 1533-position model. The record is from RNAcentral.
GAUGAACGCUGGCGGCGUGCCUAAUACAUGCAAGUCGAGCGAACAGGCGAGGAGCUUACUCCUCUGACGUUAGCGGCGGACGGGUGAGUAACACGUGGAUAACCUACCUAUAAGACUGGGAUAACUUCGGGAAACCGGAGCUAAUACCGGAUAACAUGUUGAACCGCAUGGUUCAACAGUGAAAGACGGUCUUGCUGUCACUUAUAGAUGGAUCCGCGUCGCAUUAGCUAGUUGGUAAGGUAACGGCUUACCAAGGCAACGAUGCGUAGCCGACCUGAGAGGGUGAUCGGCCACACUGGAACUGAGACACGGUCCAGACUCCUACGGGAGGCAGCAGUAGGGAAUCUUCCGCAAUGGGCGAAAGCCUGACGGAGCAACGCCGCGUGAGUGAAGAAGGUCUUCGGAUCGUAAAACUCUGUUAUUAGGGAAGAACAAAUGUGUAAGUAACUAUGCACGUCUUGACGGUACCUAAUCAGAAAGCCACGGCUAACUACGUG